Molecule: long non-coding RNA, 4232 nt
Organism: Symphalangus syndactylus (siamang)
Lineage: Eukaryota; Metazoa; Chordata; Mammalia; Primates; Hylobatidae
Source: RefSeq, a predicted model, not a curated record
UGACUUAAAGGAGCAAUUUUAUUUCUCUUUUUCUAACUCAUUUACCCAAUGAGUUUGUGUGACUAUAGAGAAAAGUAGGCUGUGUGGUUUUUCUAGUUGUCUAUACACGUUGCCUCAUAGAGCAUAUGUACACAUGUGUAAUGUUUUCAUUUCCACUAACCCGUUCACUCCCUAGCUACUAUGCUGUUGUUUGUUUUUCUGCUGAGGUCUCCCACAUUUUUAAUGCCUUUUCUGAGUUAUUCCUCCUGAAGGAACGUUAUAUACUGUACUGGAGCAAAUGAGGCUUUUCUUAAACUUCCAGUCUUGGGUUUUGCAUGUAGCAUUUCCAUUCCUUACAGAUGAAUGAGUUCUUUUUUCCCUAUUGACUAUUAGGGCAUUGCCUUGCGGAAAGGAAUAGGGUGGUGAAGGGAAAAUAUUUUGAGAUCUUGCCUGCUCUUAAUAGGGAGUUUGUGACACUUAGAUUUUCAAGUGUUCAGUUUAUACCUUUCCCAAAUCUGGUUGCAGUGUAUUUAGUCAAGCAUUGAAGACCUAACAUAUGGCGUGUUUUGCAAGGCACAGGGAAAGAAAAACGAACUGAGAACAGUGAGACCUUGUGGAAGUUCCCAGGGUGGGACAUUGCAAACCCUGGGUCCUGGGCCUGCCUGAAUCACAGCCUCGGUGGGAGGAUCUUAUGAAAGGCUCUGCCUUUUCCCAUGGUACCCUAGAAACUGCGAAUGCAAUGACAAUAUGGAGAGCAGGGGCAGAAAGCAAGGGGAUAGGGUCUUCCUCUGUCUUCCAGGCUGGAGUGCAAUGGUGGGAUCUUGGCUCACUGCAGCUUUGAAUUCCUGGGCUCAAGCAAUCCUCUUACCUCAACUUCCUGAGUCGCUGGGACUACAGGGCUUCUUCGCUGGAAUGAGGAAGAGGAGGAAGCCAAGGAAGACAGAGACUGUGGCAUCAGUGCGGUAGCCUUUCCUAGUAAAGAGACAAGCAUAGCUGAGGAGAAGGGUCAGGAAUUUUCAGGAGUAACAUGAUGUCUCGGAGCAGUCUGUCUGAACACAGUGCCUCUUUUUAGGACUUAUCUAGAGGUGACAUUAACCUUACUACUUGCCAGUUGCUGCCACGCUAUCCACUUUGGAUUUAAUGGGCAAUGGUGAAUGUCUGGAGGCAGGGCCUGGCUAGAGUAGAUGUCUUAGUGUGAAUUUAUGAGCCGGUUAAUUGGGGCAAGUCCUAGAUGGAGUGAUCAGGAGUGGAGUUGGUUAGAUAAAGGAGAAUAGAAGAGGAUGAGACUUCUUUCCUAUGAAGGCCACACCUCCAUGUGCCUCCCUUCUCAAGUGAGAAGUUGAUUUCUUCUUUACAGUUGGUACUUUAUAGAUGUUUCCUCCUUUAACUUUCAUAACCACCUAUGAGGUAACCAAGGUUCCAAGAGCUUAUGUAAUGAGACUACAUGCAGCACUGGAUCCCAACCCCAGACCGGGACUUCAAAGAGUGUUUUUCCUUCCUGAUUUCACACUGCAGCCUCCCUAAAAAGAGUCCCGGGGAAUGAAAUCUUCCUGGCUUCAUAUCUGCCCCUGAGAGUCUAUGAGGUCUUGCCUGAAGAAUUGGGGUGAGGGGGUUGUUCUUAAGGAGGAAAUGAUAUCACUUACUUUUCAAAGAAAGAAUCCCAGCCAGGGACAAAGCCAGGCUCCCGGGUAAACCACAGUACGGUCAUCAGGAUGAAGAAAAAUCCAGUCACCAUUUCAGGGUAGCUAUAAAAUAAAACAGAAAGACCCACUCAGGAACUGAGAAAUUUCUAGCUUUUUCACUUUGCUUCUGGAAGCUUCUGUAUUUAGAGUUUCAAUACCCUAGACAUAAAACACACUCACUGCCUAACCACUAUGAAUGGCUGACAGUGAGAUGAGGAGAAGACUGAGUGGCCCCAGAAAAUAUGACAUUAACCAUGUUCCUGGAGAAACUUCGGUAGAAAGGGCAAGAGAACACAGCACUGUACAUUUGUAAAAGAAUUUCAAAUACAGCCUACAAGGAGAGUGCAGUGAAAUAGGCAGCCCCAAACACUGUGCUGGUGGGAGGAGGAAUUGCUACAACCUUUUUGAGGCCAUUUGAUGAUACACAUCAGAAGCCUUAAAGUUGGUCAUUCCCUGGCCGGGUGUGGUGGCCCAUGCCCGUAAUCCCAGCACUUUGGGAGGCCGAGGUGAGCGGAUCACGAGGUCAGGAGAUGGAGACCAUCUUGGCUAACACAGUGAAACCCCAUCUCUACUAAAAAUUCAAAAAAUAAUCUGGGCAUGGUGGCACGUGCCUGUAGUCCCAGUUACUUAGGAGGCUGAGAUAGGAGAAUCGCUUGAACCCGGGAGGUGGAGGUUGCAGUGAGCCAAGAUUAUGCCACUGCACUCUAGACUGGGCAACAGGGCGAGACUGCAUCCCCCCCCAAAAAAAAAAAAAGUUGGUCAUUCCCAUUAUCUAACCAGAAAUGCAUACUGAGACAUUAAUUACCUAUUAAAAAAUGGAAGCAUCCUCUAUAUCCAAUGAUAUUUCAUGACACUGAAUACAUUUUGAUACAACUCUAUGUUAAAAUGAGAUGCAUCCACUGAUAAUCCCAUUUCCACAGCAGAGUUAAGGAUGUGGAACGUACUGUACUGAGAGUACGAUGUUGGCUUGGGAAAGGCAAGGUAUACAACAGUUUCAGUGUGGACUGAAUUUUACCAAAAAUACGUAAGAGUUUUGCACAAAAAAGCAUGGAAAGAAGUGUUAACAUUUGUUAACACGGGGUACUAAGAAUCCAGUCAAUUUUAAUUUUUUUCUUGUACUGUCUUGUAUUUUUGAAAUGUUCUAUAAUGAACAUGUAUUCCUUUUAUAACUUAAAGCUUUAAAUAAGACAGUGUCUACCUGGAUUGUUUUAUGCAAAGUUGUAUGUGCCAGUUGCUAUAAAAGGAGAAAUAGCACUAAAUAGGAAGCUAGGUCCCUGUGGAAAAGCUGAUGGAAGUGGCUGAGGAUUGGUUAGUGAUUUCUUGGACGCUCUCUCUCCAAGUCUGUCUUUGAUACGGCCUUAUACCCUAAAUAUAGCACAGAGUCUCCCAUCUCCCUGGGAGUGAUAACUGGACCACUGUGGUGGUGCGUCUGAGCAAUGAGAGGUGGCCUGGCUUUGGAAGGAAUUCACAUUUUCCAAGAGGGUGGCUGUGCUGUCUUUCCCAUCUUCUGCCUCUGUCUGCCCCAUGGUCAGCACUCCAUCCCAUGCCAUGGCUAUACCUUAGACUCCGAAUAGAGCAGAGGGGAAGGGUGGCCACCUGAAAUCUGGGCCAGCUUGGCUUUGGCAUUAAAUAGCAUCUUCUAAAGGCCUGAUUCAGAGUUGUGGAAAAUUCUCCCAGUGUCAGGGAUUGUCAAGAACAAGGCUGCUCCUGUGCUCACUUUACCUGCUGUGUUUCUGCUGGAGGAGGAGAGAAGAGGAAUGGCUGAUUUUUACCUAAUGUCUCCCAGCUUUUCAUAUUCUUCUUGGAUCCUCUUCUCUGACAACUGUUCCCUUUUGGUCUUCUUCUUCUUGCUCAGAGAGCAGGUCUCUUUAAAACUGAGAAGGGAGAAUGAGCAAAUGAUUAAAGAAAACACACUUCUGAGGCCCAGAGAUCACAUGCUCUAUCCCUCUAUCCCCCACCUAUUCAUAUGGCUUUUAUCUGCCACAUUAUCCGGCCUCUCAUCAACCUUCUCCCGUAGCCUACUGGGGAUAUCCAUCUGGGUCUGUCCCUGGUAUAUUGGUGUGAAGUGAUGUCUCAGGGACUUGUGCAAGUGUAUUCAUGUGGGGUCAUUUCUACCUACUUGUCUUUUAUGUAAGUAAAAUAAUCAGUGUAAUGUGGUAUAUGUGUCUAGAUGUAUAAACUAAAACUUUUAUUCCACUAUGUGUCUAGAUGUAUAACUAACAUUUUUACUCCAGAGAAGCUUUGUCUCUAGCCAAACAAACACACAAACAUCUGCAUAUAUGGAACACACAGUGUUAGUUUUAUAUUAGCAAUACUGGAGUUAAGAAGUGUAUAGUUAUCAUUGGUUUGACAACAGUCUGAGUAAAAAGAAAAGUCAGAGAACAUUUCUUGACCAAUGGGAGCAUUGGGUUAUAUGGACUAAUAACAAAACAUUAUAUUAUCUUCCCUUAUGUGUUUGAAACCGAUGAAAUUUGGAGUAGACUAACUUGUUAUUUUGAGGCAUAUGAGCAUAUUUUAUUCAGGCUACUAAGUAUAAAUCACCCAUGCCUAUAAAGUUUAACCUAAUGCAAA